AGAGUUUGAUCCUGGCUCAGGAUGAACGCUAGCUACAGGCUUAACACAUGCAAGUCGAGGGGCAGCAUCAUCAAAGCUUGCUUUGAUGGAUGGCGACCGGCGCACGGGUGAGUAACACGUAUCCAACCUGCCGACAACACUGGGAUAGCCUUUCGAAAGAAAGAUUAAUACCGGAUGGCAUAGUUUUCCCGCAUGGGAUAAUUAUUAAAGAAUUUCGGUCAUCGAUGGGGAUGCGUUCCAUUAGGUUGUUGGCGGGGUAACGGCCCACCAAGCCUUCGAUGGAUAGGGGUUCUGAGAGGAAGGUCCCCCACAUUGGAACUGAGACACGGUCCAAACUCCUACGGGAGGCAGCAGUGAGGAAUAUUGGUCAAUGGACGAGAGUCUGAACCAGCCAAGUAGCGUGAAGGAUGACUGCCCUAUGGGUUGUAAACUUCUUUUAUACGGGAAUAAAGUGAGGCACGUGUGCCUUUUUGUAUGUACCGUAUGAAUAAGGAUCGGCUAACUCCGUGCCAGCAGCCGCGGUAAUACGGAGGAUCCGAGCGUUAUCCGGAUUUAUUGGGUUUAAAGGGAGCGUAGGCGGACGCUUAAGUCAGUUGUGAAAGUUUGCGGCUCAACCGUAAAAUUGCAGUUGAUACUGGGUGUCUUGAGUACAGUAGAGGCAGGCGGAAUUCGUGGUGUAGCGGUGAAAUGCUUAGAUAUCACGAAGAACUCCGAUUGCGAAGGCAGCCUGCUGGACUGUAACUGACGCUGAUGCUCGAAAGUGUGGGUAUCAAACAGGAUUAGAUACCCUGGUAGUCCACACAGUAAACGAUGAAUACUCGCUGUUUGCGAUAUACAGCAAGCGGCCAAGCGAAAGCGUUAAGUAUUCCACCUGGGGAAUACGCCGGCAACGGUGAAACUCAAAGGAAUUGACGGGGGCCCGCACAAGCGGAGGAACAUGUGGUUUAAUUCGAUGAUACGCGAGGAACCUUACCCGGGCUUGAAUUGCAACUGAAUGAUGUGGAGACAUGUCAGCCGCAAGGCAGUUGUGAAGGUGCUGCAUGGUUGUCGUCAGCUCGUGCCGUGAGGUGUCGGCUUAAGUGCCAUAACGAGCGCAACCCUUAUCGAUAGUUACCAUCAGGUUAUGCUGGGGACUCUGUCGAGACUGCCGUCGUAAGAUGUGAGGAAGGUGGGGAUGACGUCAAAUCAGCACGGCCCUUACGUCCGGGGCUACACACGUGCUACAAUGGGGGGUACAGAAGGCAGCUACACGGCGACGUGAUGCUAAUCCCGAAAGCCUCUCUCAGUUCGGAUUGGAGUCUGCAACCCGACUCCAUGAAGCUGGAUUCGCUAGUAAUCGCGCAUCAGCCACGGCGCGGUGAAUACGUUCCCGGGCCUUGCACACACCGCCCGUCA
This 1395-nucleotide ribosomal RNA is filed under the name uncultured bacterium. Its description in RNAcentral is "16S ribosomal RNA". It matches the Rfam family "Bacterial small subunit ribosomal RNA". The record is from RNAcentral.